CUUUUAUUUCUCUUGCCACAACCCCUGGCUGAUCCGGUCCCGGAAUUGUGCAGACACCGGCACAACAAGGCACAGGCUGAGUCACAGAUUGCAAGGGAAGGUGAAACACGUACUGAUCCAGUGGAGAAACUGCAGUUCCUGGUGCAGAUGUGCACAUACUGCCUACUUUAUUCCUGGGUUUUCUUUUUCAGAGCGGAACAACACAUUUAAAAAAGAAACCUUUACCUUGUUGCUACGCAAACACGAAUUGGUGUUAUUAUAUCCCCAGAAAGCAGAACAACAAUAUUGCAAAGGAAGGUCAAGAGGAAAAGCGCUCUAGCAAGGCUGAGAAGGAGCAACAAAAUUCUCAACAGAGACCAAAAGCAUCUGACA
Molecule: long non-coding RNA, 372 nt
Filed under: Parus major (Great Tit)
Lineage: Eukaryota; Metazoa; Chordata; Aves; Passeriformes; Paridae
Description: lncRNA (ENSPMJG00000013137.1)
Source: RNAcentral